CCAACCAGUGGAAAACCACGCAGAAAUCUGUUGCUGUGUGAUGGCAACAUAGCGAAAGCAAAGACCGCGAAAACCGGAUUCCUGCAUCAAUAAUCAGCACAAUUUAUGCACCGCUCAUACCUAUGAAAUAAAUAAAACAAAAUAAGCAAGCCAGUUGUGCGCUUGAAUUUUCUCUUCUGCUUUGAAAGAGGACGCUCACAAAACACCUUCCCCGGGUUAAUUGAUACGUGCUACUUCAAGGAAGAUUGGUCAAAACUUGACCCAGGCCGGUUGAGAGACGAAAAUGCAGCCACUGGAGAGGACAGGGGACGAAAAAUUUACCUCCCUAGGUGCAUUCCGCAAACUGGUGAUCGUCCGACCCGCAUCUGAUGUGAGUUGUGUUUGGAUAGAGACACUAAAUCACAUGAUAUAGUGUGAUUAAGAACACUGAUUAGAGAAACGCAACCUAUCUACCUGCGUGAUAUCUGAUUGAUUGCUGAUAGAAUCAAGCAUGCUAGCUACCCACCUACCUGCCCAUCUCACUGCAUGAUAUUCAAUUGAUUGCUGAUGAAAUAUAGAAUGCUAGAUAGCUGUCUAUCUAUCUAUCUGCCUAUCUAUCUGCCUACCUACCUGCGCGAUAUCAGAUCGACUGCUGAUAGAAUUUGGAAUGCUAGCUAGAUAGCUAGCUACCUAUCUACCUCCCUACCUUCCAACCAACAUGGCUGCUCAAUAUCCAACCAAUCUCUAUAAGAAUAAACAUCAUCAUCUAGCUGCCCACCUAUCUGGCAAUGCUGGCUUACUAGAUGACUACCUGGCUGUCUACCUGCCUAUUUAUCUACUCACCUGCUUGAAUGAUUGAUCUCUACCAAUGAUAUCAUUAUCUAGUGAUGGUGAUAUAUGUUGAUGGUGAUAUAUCAAUGAUAUCUAGUGAUGAAUGUCGAUGAUGAUAUAUUGGUGAUAUAUAUCGAUAUUAAUAAUAUAUAAAUAUAUAGUUGAUAUAUUAUUGCAGUGGUUCUGUUGCUUACAAGAAGCUUCAUAAUCUGUAGAAGAAUAAUGUUGUUGUGUAUAUUAACUAGCUAAGUGAGAACAACACAAUAAUAGAUUGAGUGGCACGUGUCUGAGGUAGCCGUAGUAAUGGCUAACAUGAUCAUAUUUAUAGGCAAAAUCCCUCAUAAACUUGAUCAGCUGAAUAUUCGAGAACACCGUCAAUAAACGCGACAUAUUUGCUUCAAAAAAAUGGAAAUUUGUCGAAACCGUCUCACAGAAAAUAGUCGAUAAGCUUUGCUGUUUUGACUCUAGCGUCUAGUCGGAUCAACACUCAAUGAUGUCACAGCUCUCCCGACACAAAAGGACAACAUGAAAACAGAUCCCCCAACAUAUAAUAGACGGCAAGAAACACAUAACUCUAACAAUAACAGAGACAGAACAUGAGAUAAGAUUCCAUCAAUGCUAUUUGAAUGCCAUAAAUGCAUAUGUCGGCUUUUGUAUGUUGCUGGUAGCAAUGUUUUGAUGCAAUAACAUUGUCAGCCUUGUCAGGUUUGAAUGUGGAAUAGUGUGUUGCAGCAUCAUUUUGGCUUGGAUGCUCAUCCUCCAUGCUCAGGUAUAUAAGGGAGAUGUAAUGACUGCUUUGCUGACAUGCCUACUUCAUAGCAACUUUGACAGUAUUCGGUUUCAGGAUGUCUUUGUACUUCUCGGCUGCAUCAGGAAUGGAUGGGAUGUUAACUCCUGUGCUGAAGCACGUUCUUCAGGGAGCCACCUGAAUAUUUUGCUGAGAAAAUCCAACAACAGCCUGUGGUCCUCACCUUCCAGACGCCACUCUCUCGUGUCAAGCGACUGCUCGGGAAUGGGCGUUGCCGCAAUCCACUGUCCUUCAUCAUCCCAGUACUUGCGGCAUUUCUCACUCCGUUGAAGGAAGCUCUGUGGGGGAGGCCCCAUGAGGGCAACCAUCUCAGCAAGAUGUUGCUCAUCAUCCAGAAUGCGGUUUUUAAGGGCAUAAAAAAGGCGACCGCCUUCAAAUAAAUCCCAUACCUGCCACAUUGUGAGCAGGUAUGUACUGGCUCUUGGUAUGAAAGGAUGUUGGGCAUAUUUUGCAGUCCCAUUCCAUCCCUAGUAUCACCUCCGGUGCACGAUAGAAGUCAGGCAUCACAUCGCCCAGAUGCUUCCUUUCGCCAAUCCUAGCCCCUCCAAAGUCACAAAGAACUGGCGUGCCAUCGGUUAUGGGCAUAGAAUGGGACCGAUAGAUGGUCCGGUCCCGAAGGACUUUGCGAGCGCUAGGAUGCUCUAACUCAGAUUGCUCGAUUUUGGAAAACACAGAGGGGCUCCGGGCACCUAAAAGGAUAUUGUUAGGCGAGAUAUCUAAAAUGAGAACAAAACUAUUAGCGCAGUCGUUUGCAGACACACGGAAUACUGAAUUAACCUGUUCCAGAGGUGACACAGAAUCAUACCUGUAUGUACCACGCUCAAUUGGUGCAGAAGAUCUAGACCAAUCAGGAUUAACUGGUAAGUCUGCUGGAGCAGUGCCUUAUCCAGCAUGCGAUCUGGCUGUGAAUUGCGGAACUCAGUAUAAGUCAUCCCCUGAGGCGUAUAGAGUAGGCAUCUGUGUUCCCCCCCAGGCCCAUAGAUGGUGAACUCUCUGAUUAUGAGUCGGAGGUAUCUUUCACCGGGAUGUUCAACAUCAGCGGCUCGAAUAUGUCUCGCUACAGCCACUUCAUUGGUAGACUGGGCAGCGACACCAGCUUCCUGUCUGCAGGUGCAGACUUUCAGAGUUAGUCAUUUCUCACUUCAAGUCCCGGCAGAGCCAUACACUCGAGCCCACUCCAAACCCUAGCUUCGCGAUGACUUGAUAUCUAGAUUUGAACACAUCUCCCAGUCUGACUGGGUAGAAAUCUUCGGAAUUAUAAUCUGGGAGCUCCUCUUCUUCUAAUUUCACGUCGUGGGGCAGCAGUUGGUGUUGACUCCGGGUCACAGUUGAGCCGUUUCGAACGAGAUGUGAGCUCAUGGUUAUCGCAGGCGCAUGGCGACGUUCUGAGAUAGAAGCGCAACGAGCAGCAGGGAAAUGAUAUGGUAUCGGAUAACAGAAUAAGAACGGCCGUAAUACGAACCGAAGAGAGGUGCGAACGACCAUGACUAGAACGUUUGGUAUUUUUCAGGUGGUGCAGACUUCAAAUCCUACCCUCGUAAUGUUGAGCUAAGGACCUCUUCCAUGCAGCCUCAUAGAUUUCACAGUUCGCGUUUCAAGUAUACUUUGUGGAACAAAUCCACACUGUAAUUUGCAUUGCUCAACGGGGAACAAAUGUUACAUACAACAGAAUUUCUUCUUCGUAUUAGACCUCUUUGCAUGGCGCUUUGCUUGGAGAGCUGGAUAGCCAUCCUACCUCACCUUUAGUGAUCCUGGAUCCCCUCAGCAACUUUGAAAUGGCGACUAAUUAUGUUACAAGCAACGGACUGUCCUUCGUCACACUCUACAUUGCACUGCACAUGUUUCACUAAGAAGAGCAAAAUAAUGCCCGAAGUUUUAAUUUACUUGAUGCCUGUUCAACCUUGAAUCCUAACACUACUAGCUAUGCAAGUGCAAGUUAAUCAACAAGAACAUUUGGCACGACUGUGUAGUUGACAGAAUUCAGAUGCUAAUAACAUGCUUUGAUCGUGGUUUCUGUAUCUAUCAGGACGGUAUAUUUACUAAACCCACCCCCUCUCUUAUUCUAACGUAUCCAUCUGCACGGUAAACUGGCGAAGAAUGAAAGAAUGGAAAACAAACGCUUGACAACGUGGGUACCAGAAUGCAAUUCCAAAAACACAAAAUUUUCCUCCCAUCAAAGCUGGAGACGAUGAACAUGAAUAUGCCGAAGAAACCCAACAUGUAGAACGAAAAAAAAUAAAAAUAAAAAUAAAAAUUGCAUCCCUAACGAGCCCACAGAAAGUAUUGGAGGAGUUGAACAGGAAGCCGAAGAACAAGAACCAUGACGCUCACCUCCAACCCACAAGAAAGGCAUCAGAACCAAACGGCAAUGCAAGGAAAAGAAAGCUGAAAGCAGAUAGUAUGGAAAUAAUAGUAAAAACAAUCCAACCUGCCCGAUCCCUCCCCCAUCUC
RNAcentral lists this small RNA (4069 nucleotides) under Histoplasma capsulatum. RNAcentral's name for it is "hypothetical RNA". RNAcentral also lists the same sequence under 1 other name. Lineage: Eukaryota; Fungi; Ascomycota; Eurotiomycetes; Onygenales; Ajellomycetaceae. The record is from RNAcentral.